This 252-nucleotide ribosomal RNA is filed under the name uncultured bacterium. RNAcentral's name for it is "partial 16S ribosomal RNA". It matches the Rfam family "Bacterial small subunit ribosomal RNA", at positions 524 to 776 of the family's 1533-position model. The record is from RNAcentral.
UACGGGGGGGCAAGCGUUGUUCGGAAUUACUGGGCGUAAAGGGUUCGUAGGUGGCCAACUAAGUCAGACGUGAAAUCCCUCAGCUUAACUGGGGAACUGCGUCUGAUACUGGUUGGCUUGAGUGCAGGAGAGGAACGCGGAAUUCCAGGUGUAGCGGUGAAAUGCGUAGAUAUCUGGAGGAACACCGGUGGCGAAGGCGGCGUUCUGGACUGCAACUGACACUGAGGAACGAAAGCCAGGGGAGCAAACGGG